UACGGAGGGAACUAGCGUUGUUCGGAUUUACUGGGCGUAAAGGGCGCGUAGGCGGUUUAUUAAGUUAGAAGUGAAAGCCCAGGGCUUAACCCUGGAACUGCUUCUAAAACUGAUUGACUAGAGUGCGGGAGAGGAUAGUGGAAUUCCUAGUGUAGAGGUGAAAUUCUUAGAUAUUAGGAGGAACACCAGUGGCGAAGGCGGCCAUCUGGACGGUCACUGACGCUGAGACGCGAAAGCGUGGGUAGCAAACAGG
Molecule: ribosomal RNA, 253 nt
Filed under: uncultured bacterium
Lineage: Bacteria
Description: partial 16S ribosomal RNA
Rfam family: Bacterial small subunit ribosomal RNA
Source: RNAcentral